This 205-nucleotide ribosomal RNA is filed under the name uncultured bacterium. RNAcentral describes it as "partial 16S ribosomal RNA". It matches the Rfam family "Bacterial small subunit ribosomal RNA", at positions 568 to 774 of the family's 1533-position model. The record is from RNAcentral.
CAUGCAGGCGGUUAUGCAAGCAGGAUGUGAAACCCCCGGGCUUAACCUGGGAACUGCAUUCUGAACUACAUGACUAGAGUAUUGCAGGGGGAGACGGAAUUCCAGGUGUAGCGGUGGAAUGCGUAGAUAUCUGGAAGAACACCAAAGGCGAAGGCAGUCUCCUGGGCAAAUACUGACGCUCAUAUGCGAAAGCUGGUAGCAAACA